RNAcentral lists this ribosomal RNA (427 nucleotides) under uncultured Gammaproteobacteria bacterium. RNAcentral describes it as "bacterial SSU rRNA". It matches the Rfam family "Bacterial small subunit ribosomal RNA", at positions 958 to 1385 of the family's 1533-position model. The record is from RNAcentral. Lineage: Bacteria; Pseudomonadati; Pseudomonadota; Gammaproteobacteria.
AACGCGAAGAACCUUACCUGGCCUUGACAUGUCUGGAAGUCUGCAGAGAUGCGGAUGUGCCUUCGGGAACCAGAACACAGGUGCUGCAUGGCUGUCGUCAGCUCGUGUCGUGAGAUGUUGGGUUAAGUCCCGCAACGAGCGCAACCCUUGUCCUUAGUUGCCAGCAUUAAGAUGGGAACUCUAAGGAGACCGCCGGUGACAAACCGGAGGAAGGUGGGGAUGACGUCAAGUCAUCAUGGCCUUUAUGGCCAGGGCUACACACGUGCUACAAUGGUAGAAACAGAGGGAAGCCAACGCGCGAGCGGGAGCCAAUCCCAGAAAAUCUAUCGUAGUCCGGAUCGGAGUCUGCAACUCGACUCCGUGAAGUCGGAAUCGCUAGUAAUCGCAGAUCAGCAUUGCUGCGGUGAAUACGUUCCCGGGCCUUGUA